RNAcentral lists this non-coding RNA (79 nucleotides) under Geobacteraceae bacterium. The record is from RNAcentral. Lineage: Bacteria; Pseudomonadati; Thermodesulfobacteriota; Desulfuromonadia; Geobacterales; Geobacteraceae.
CUGCGAAACAGGGAAUACAUUAAUUUAUGUAUUCCCUGUCAUCCGGAGGUGGCGCUCCGGAUCUGAUGAGCAGCCAAGG